This 896-nucleotide ribosomal RNA is filed under the name Septoria leptostachya. RNAcentral describes it as "LSU rRNA". It matches the Rfam family "Eukaryotic large subunit ribosomal RNA", at positions 35 to 960 of the family's 3401-position model. Lineage: Eukaryota; Fungi; Ascomycota; Dothideomycetes; Mycosphaerellales; Mycosphaerellaceae. The record is from RNAcentral.
UAAGCAUAUCAAUAAGCGGAGGAAAAGAAACCAACAGGGAUUGCCCUAGUAACGGCGAGUGAAGCGGCAACAGCUCAAAUUUGAAAUCUGGCGCAAGCCCGAGUUGUAAUUUGUAGAGGAUGCUUCUGGGUAGCGACCGAUCUAAGUUCCUUGGAACAGGACGUCAUAGAGGGUGAGAAUCCCGUAUGUGACCGGCCCGCACCCUUUACGUAGCUCCUUCGACGAGUCGAGUUGUUUGGGAAUGCAGCUCUAAAUGGGAGGUAAAUUUCUUCUAAAGCUAAAUACCGGCCAGAGACCGAUAGCGCACAAGUAGAGUGAUCGAAAGAUGAAAAGUACUUUGGAAAGAGAGUUAAAAAGCACGUGAAAUUGUUGAAAGGGAAGCGCCUGCAACCAGACUUCGCGGCAGUGUUCCGCCGGUCUUCUGACCGGUUCAUUCUCUGUCGCGAGGCCAUCAUCGUCUGGGCCCGCCGGAUAAGACCUUAGGAAUGUAGCUCACCUUCGGGGGAGUGUUAUAGCCUAGGGUGAUGCGGCGAGGCUCGGGCGAGGUCCGCGCUUCGGCAAGGAUGAUGGCGUAAUGGUUGUCGGCGGCCCGUCUUGAAACACGGACCAAGGAGUCUAACAUCUAUGCGAGUGUUCGGGUGUCAAACCCCUACGCGUAAUGAAAGUGAACGGAGGUGGGAACCGCAAGGUGCACCAUCGACCGAUCCUGAUGUCCUCGGAUGGAUUUGAGUAAGAGCAUAGCUGUUGGGACCCGAAAGAUGGUGAACUAUGCCUGAAUAGGGUGAAGCCAGAGGAAACUCUGGUGGAGGCUCGCAGCGGUUCUGACGUGCAAAUCGAUCGUCAAAUUUGGGUAUAGGGGCGAAAGACUAAUCGAACCAUCUAGUAGCUGGUUCCUG